Long non-coding RNA from Gadus morhua (Atlantic cod), 3683 nucleotides. NCBI's taxonomy places the organism in Eukaryota, Metazoa, Chordata, Actinopteri, Gadiformes, Gadidae. The record is from Ensembl.
AUGAAGCGCUUCCACCACGACGGGGCACGGUUGAGGAAGGUGACCGAUGCUGUCAGCGUUCCUCCAUGGCUGUCUCUGGCCUCCCUCGUUGGAGAGCAGGGUGCUGCAGCUGGGAUAGACCCACUGAGAUCAAGUUAUGGAGAGGGGGAAAUCGCAUCUGGAGCAAAACCAAGUGCAAACAUGGGUAAGAAAAAAGUGAUGGAUUCCUAUCUCAUGCCCAACCGCUUGAGUUUUUCAGUUGUGUACAAAACAGGAUUGUUGGUGUGUUUCUCAGCAGCAGUGGAUCAUCUUGACAGUGCAGGAGACAGGGACAGAGGUCUUCAGGAAGUUCAUGGGGUGAGAGGGGCCAGGGAGAGAGCUGUAGUACACAGUGGGACAGAAUAUGGACAGAUUCAAGUGAUGAUGCAACAGAGAAGCCCCAAGUGUUUUUUACACUGGCACUAUGCCCGUCUUAUUUGAAACUUUUUCCCGGCAUUGGCGUUUUUGCACUUGUAAACAGUUAAUGGGGUUUGUAGCCUACAUUCAGACGCAGUCUACUCAUUCUUGCGUGCGAGUGGCUUAAAUAAAAUUAAAACAUUCCGAGUAUGCAAAUUAUUCUAAAGAUGUCUACGUGCGUAGCCCCGCCUGCUCCAAUGAACAAGAAAGCCGGCUCUUUGAAGGCUUUACACAGGCAGGACAGUGAAACUAACAUCUGCCAAGCAGCGACCGUACCUGCUUGGCAGUGUAAAAAUGCUUAGGGUUAGGGUUAGGUUCUCUGACAAAUGAAUCCUGUUUCUCUACAGAAGGAUCACAGCAACCAGAGCACCUACCGUCUGUCGGGGAUGGUCUCUCACCUCGGGGAGAGCAUCAACACCGGUAACUAAAGCUUUUAUAGUAAAGAAUGUACAUCUGUACCUGACACACGCGUCAGACACUAGACCCGUCCCACGCUGGGGGACAGUAAGGUAAUGGAUGUCUUGUGUCCCCCAGGCCACUACGUCAGUGACGUAGCUCGAGAGGACGGCGCCGGAUGGUUGACCCUCAACGACGCCCGUGUGACGCCCGCGGAGACGCCGGUCCUGAGGACCAGAGAGAAGACCGCCUACAUGUUGUUUUACGUCCUAAGGUGAUACUUUAAACGUUACUCUCUACAACAGCCAAUGCUUCUUUUAGACUCAGACUGUUUUACUCACUGAACUUACUGAAACACUGACUCCUGCUCGUCUUCUUCCACCAGUGGAGCAGAAGAGGGAAGCCAUGUCCCACUGGCUCAGAACCAGGAGCCAUCUGGAGCUGAGAGGGACUGACACCUGUGAGGCCCAGGAGAGCGCUUGAUUGGUGGCAGAGUUCCCGUUGUCCGGUAAUUACCGGUCUUUGACCGGAAAAAAAUGAGGAGGACCGAAAAUCCUAAAUGUCUCCGGUCAGAAUGACCGAUUGGAAAUAAGGCCCCGUCCACACGGAGCCGAAACGGGCGAAAACGAUCCGGUUUCGUUUUAUGCUUAAUGUUCAAGGUGCUGGUUCUCCACAGAAAAAAGUGGAGCGCAUCAACCCUGCGCUCAUACAGCAUGCGCGCUGUAUACAAACAUUCAGUCACGAGGAGAUUCAACCAUUGAGCAGAACAAAAUUGAGCAGGUCCUAUGUUCCCGGUUUUCCCCAAAAAGGGUCCUAUGUUCCCCUGUAGCCAUACAUACCGGGGAACAUAGGACCCUUUUCCCAGAAAAGGGUCCUAUGUUCCCCGCAAUCUAUCAAUCUUUAAAAAUAUUUAAACUUUGACGCGGCAUUCGCGUAAUGACAGCCAAUCGUCGUUCAACAGAGUGACAUGUCUAACGUAACAGCCAAUCAGCGUUCAACCGGCCAACUCAGUGCAGUGCAGUCCGGGGUGAACUGCAGCAAGGAGGAGAAAGUGAUUGUUGCCGUUUGCGACUCCCGGAGCUCUUUAUAUAAUAGUAUAUAAUAUAAUUGUAUAAUAAUAUCACGGCCAAAAGCUCUGUGCGCCUCCGGAUGGCCGUAACGCGGGAAGCUCUCGUGGGGAUUGGGCUUCUCGGGGUUUGUUUACCGGCGUAUGAAUAUACUGCGUCAGGUUCUCCGACGUCUCUCCCUCUUCCACAAAAGGUAAAGACAUGCAAUGGUAGUUAUCUCGGCCGGAAUUUGGCAGUAAUGGUGGAAAAAGUAACAGACCGGGGAACAUAGAACCCCUUUUUAAAAAAAGGGUCCUAUGUUCCCCGGUCACAUACAUAUCGGGGAACAUAGGACCCUUUUUUGGGAAAAGCAGGGAACAUAGGACCCUUUUUGAAAAAAAGGGUCCUAUGUUCCCCAGUCUCAUACAAAGAGGGGAACAUAGGACUCGGGGAACAUAGACACGCUCCCCUAUAGACUACCGUAGGUUUAUGAACUAAACGGCGGCAAGCUAGCGAAAGCCGGCGGCAAGCUUUGCGGAGUACCGGUAUUUAACAACAAUGGCGAAUCAAAAUAUGAUCACACACUUCUUCUUUAUAUAGCCUGCCUAUCAUUUUUUUUAAGUGCAAUAAACACGGACAAUAUCCGACCGUUUUUUUCCCAAUUUGACCGGUAAAAUUAAACCUUCCCGGUCACAUGACCGGCACCAAUUUCUUCUAGCGGAAACACUGAUUGGUGGUGCCUCUACAGCCCGCUCUGGGGGCCACACCCUGCAGCCCCCCUCUACAGCUGAGGCCCACCUUUAAACGCCCCCCUAGGGGCCACACCCUGAAGCCCCCCUCUACAUCCCCCCCUAGGGGCCACACCCUGAAGCCCCCCUCUACAUCCCCCCUAGGGGCCACACCCUGAAGCCCCCCUCUACAUCCCCCCUAGGGGCCACACCCUGAUGCCCCCCUCUAGGGGACCUGAGGCCCCUCUCUACACCCCCCUCUGGGGGCCACACCCUGCGUCCCCCUUCUACAGCCCCCUCUAGGGGCUAACCAACCCCCUCUACACCCCCCUCUCGGGGCCCUGCGGCCCACCUCUUUGGACUUUAAGGCUGAUCAUAAUGAGGAUCACUUUAUUUUUAUUUUGUAUCAUAAUAAUGAGGAGCAUAUUCAUAUUAUGUAUAAUAAUAAUGCUGAGGAUCAUCUUAUUAUGAAUAAUAAUGUCAUUAUGUGAUCCUUUUUAUUAUUAUGCAUGUAUAAUAAUAAUAAUGAGGAUAACAUUAUUAUGUACAAUAAUAAUGCUGAGGAUCAAAUUAUGUGUAUAAUAAUAAUAUGAUAAUUAUGUAUAAUAUAUAAUAUAAUAGCACUAUAUAUAAUGUAACUAUAAAAAUAAGAUCCCUGUGGAACUAAUAUAUGAUUAUUGAGCUCUGGUUUUCAUUCAAUUUCGUUUAAAUAAAUGUGUUUAUUGUAUAAAUAGUAAAAUAACAAUUAAAAUGUUCAUGAUAUUAAUAAUUUCAAUCAAAUCAAUAAUAAGAUAUCACCAGAGUAUAUAAUAAUAAUAUAUGUCAUCAAUAACCCCACACAUAAAACAGUCAGACACCAUUUCAACCUUCAAGUCACAACAACGUCUAACUGUUCACUGUUUUUAUUUUUUUAUUUCUUAUUGCUUAUGUUUAUUUAUUUAUUUAUUUAUUUAUUUUUUCCACAAUGUCUUGCUUUUUAAAAAAUGUAUGAUGACUAUAUGCUCUGUAAGGUGACCUUGGGUGUCUUGAAAGGCGCCUCUAAAUUAAAUGUAUUAUUAUUAUUAUUAUAAAUGCGUUU